Molecule: long non-coding RNA, 246 nt
Organism: Teleopsis dalmanni
Lineage: Eukaryota; Metazoa; Arthropoda; Insecta; Diptera; Diopsidae
Exons: 2
Source: RefSeq, a predicted model, not a curated record
AAAUAAAAAAUAAAUAAAAUUUGAUAUUCCAAAAUUCUUAGUACUUUUAAUCAAAACUCUUCUAAUCAGCUUUCUCUAGUUUUUACAUUGAAUGCAGUCAACUUCAUGUGUCAAACGUAAUACCGACCAACGACAGAAGUUCAUUGAAAAACAAAAAAAGUGCGAAUCAAGGGAAAAGGUGACAAAUAGCGUUGAAAAUGUUUGAAACAAACACACAUGACCGAACAUAAAUACUACAGACUAUCA